CGCGUAGGAAUCUGCCCAGUAGAGGGGGAUAGCCCGAGGAAACUCGGAUUAAUACCGCAUACGCCCUACGGGGGAAAGGCCGGGAUCUUCGGACCGGUCACUAUUGGAUGAGCCUGCGUUGGAUUAGCUUGUUGGUAGGGUAAAAGCCUACCAAGGCGACGAUCCAUAGCUGGUCUGAGAGGAUGAUCAGCCACACUGGGACUGAGACACGGCCCAGACUCCUACGGGAGGCAGCAGUGGGGAAUAUUGGACAAUGGGGGCAACCCUGAUCCAGCCAUGCCGCGUGUGUGAAGAAGGCCUUCGGGUUGUAAAGCACUUUU
Molecule: ribosomal RNA, 320 nt
Filed under: uncultured Thiohalomonas sp.
Lineage: Bacteria; Pseudomonadati; Pseudomonadota; Gammaproteobacteria; Thiohalomonadales; Thiohalomonadaceae
Description: bacterial SSU rRNA
Rfam family: Bacterial small subunit ribosomal RNA
Source: RNAcentral